RNAcentral lists this ribosomal RNA (253 nucleotides) under uncultured bacterium. RNAcentral's name for it is "partial 16S ribosomal RNA". It matches the Rfam family "Bacterial small subunit ribosomal RNA", at positions 524 to 776 of the family's 1533-position model. The record is from RNAcentral.
UACGAAGGGGGCUAGCGUUGCUCGGAAUCACUGGGCGUAAAGCGCACGUAGGCGGAUUGCUAAGUCAGGGGUGAAAUCCUGGAGCUCAACUCCAGAACUGCCUUUGAUACUGGCGACCUUGAGUCCGGGAGAGGUGAGUGGAACUGCGAGUGUAGAGGUGAAAUUCGUAGAUAUUCGCAAGAACACCAGUGGCGAAGGCGGCUCACUGGCCCGAUACUGACGCUGAGGAGCGAAAGCGUGGGGAGCGAACAGG